Molecule: ribosomal RNA, 874 nt
Filed under: Salmonella enterica subsp. enterica serovar Haifa
Lineage: Bacteria; Pseudomonadati; Pseudomonadota; Gammaproteobacteria; Enterobacterales; Enterobacteriaceae
Description: partial 23S ribosomal RNA
Rfam family: Bacterial large subunit ribosomal RNA
Source: RNAcentral
CAUCCUCCAAGGCUAAAUACUCCUGACUGACCGAUAGUGAACCAGUACCGUGAGGGAAAGGCGAAAAGAACCCCGGCGAGGGGAGUGAAAAAGAACCUGAAACCGUGUACGUACAAGCAGUGGGAGCCCCACCACCAAAGCAUUUGCUGUACCGCGUUGACGGAGCGAAGCGACGUCAAACCGAUAAAACAGCAGUGUAAAGUGAGCCGCAGGGCGCUUUGCGCGACAGCGCAAAGGCAGGCGGUUUCGCGUAGCGAAAGCGAAUGCUUUGGGGUGGGGUGACUGCGUACCUUUUGUAUAAUGGGUCAGCGACUUAUAUUCUGUAGCAAGGUUAACCGAAUAGGGGAGCCGUAGGGAAACCGAGUCUUAACCGGGCGUUAAGUUGCAGGGUAUAGACCCGAAACCCGGUGAUCUAGCCAUGGGCAGGUUGAAGGUUGGGUAACACUAACUGGAGGACCGAACCGACUAAUGUUGAAAAAUUAGCGGAUGACCUGUGGCUGGGGGUGAAAGGCCAAUCAAACCGGGAGAUAGCUGGUUCUCCCCGAAAGCUAUUUAGGUAGCGCCUCGUGAAUUCAUCUCCGGGGGUAGAGCACUGUUUCGGCUAGGGGGCCAUCCCGGCUUACCAACCCGAUGCAAACUGCGAAUACCGGAGAAUGUUAUCACGGGAGACACACGGCGGGUGCUAACGUCCGUCGUGAAGAGGGAAACAACCCAGACCGCCAGCUAAGGUCCCAAAGUCAUGGUUAAGUGGGAAACGAUGUGGGAAGGCCCAGACAGCCAGGAUGUUGGCUUAGAAGCAGCCAUCAUUUAAAGAAAGCGUAAUAGCUCACUGGUCGAGUCGGCCUGCGCGGAAGAUGUAACGGGGCUAAACCAU